UACAUANUGAAGCUAUAGCAUGGCAAAACCUGCUAAAGUAUUGUUCGGAGGGAUAAAUUGUCAAAAUUGUUGACGAAGGAUUUCAUCAGCGCAGUGAUGGAACUUCAAUAGAGUUGCCACGGUAUGACAAAACUUAUUUUUGUAAUACAACUGUUGAUGUGUAAUGUGCUUCCAAAAGUGAUUUCAGCGCCAGUUUUUAUAUUUAGUUUUCUCUAGAGCAGUGUCUCCCAGGCUAGUAAAAAUCUGCUGUCAAAGGAAUAAACUUGCUUUUGAAAGUUAGAUAAGAACGAGCGAAUUUUUAAAUAUUUAUGAAGUAUUGCAAAAUGUCAGUAUUUGUGAAUACUUUGGAAAUAUAAAAUACUAAAUGGCAAAAACUCGCGCCAAAUAUUUUCAUUUGU
This is a long non-coding RNA of Rhagoletis zephyria (snowberry fruit fly), 398 nucleotides long. RefSeq lists it as uncharacterized. NCBI's taxonomy places the organism in Eukaryota, Metazoa, Arthropoda, Insecta, Diptera, Tephritidae. The record is from RefSeq and is a predicted model, not a curated record.